This 464-nucleotide ribosomal RNA is filed under the name uncultured bacterium. Its description in RNAcentral is "bacterial SSU rRNA". It matches the Rfam family "Bacterial small subunit ribosomal RNA", at positions 56 to 513 of the family's 1533-position model. The record is from RNAcentral.
UGCAGUCGAACGGCAGCACGGGCUUCGGCCUGGUGGCGAGUGGCGAACGGGUGAGUAAUGCAUCGGAACGUGCCCAUGUCGUGGGGGAUAACGUAGCGAAAGCUACGCUAAUACCGCAUACGCCCUGAGGGGGAAAGCGGGGGAUUCUUCGGAACCUCGCGCGAUUGGAGCGGCCGAUGUCGGAUUAGCUAGUAGGUGAGGUAAAGGCUCACCUAGGCGACGAUCCGUAGCGGGUCUGAGAGGAUGAUCCGCCACACUGGGACUGAGACACGGCCCAGACUCCUACGGGAGGCAGCAGUGGGGAAUUUUGGACAAUGGGGGCAACCCUGAUCCAGCCAUGCCGCGUGAGUGAAGAAGGCCUUCGGGUUGUAAAGCUCUUUCGGCCGGGAAGAAAUCGGCGACUCUAACAUAGUCGCUGGAUGACGGUACCGGACUAAGAAGCACCGGCUAACUACGUGCCAGCA